This 93-nucleotide non-coding RNA is filed under the name bovine gut metagenome. The record is from RNAcentral.
UCCAGGGGAGCGAAAGCUGAGAGUCCGGAUGAAAAGAUCCGGUGACCCUCAUUACCUGAUCCGGAUAAUGCCGGCGAAGGAAGCGAGAGAAAA